GGUCGCUGCCUUCGGGCAGAGGAAAGUCCGGACUCCACAGGGCGGAGGAUCCAUUCGUCAAGGAUGGAAGGCGUCGGGAAAUCCGACACGAUGGAAAGUGCCACAGAAAACAGACAGCCUCGCAAGGGGUGAUGGUGAAAAGGUGAGGCAAGAGCUCACCGGUCCGUCUGAAACGACGGACGCAGGGUAAACCCUCCUCGGAGCAAGAUCAAAUAGGAAACCGACCGGCUGCCCGUCGGGCGUGGGCUCGCAAGAGCCGACUUAAGGUUUCGGGUUGAUUGCGUUAGAUGAAUGAUCGGACCCUCCGUCGCGUCCGAAAGGUCGACGACGGAGGGGAACAGAAUCUGGCUUAUUCGCCG
Molecule: RNase P RNA, 359 nt
Filed under: pig gut metagenome
Description: Bacterial RNase P class A
Rfam family: Bacterial RNase P class A
About the family: Ribonuclease P (RNase P) is a ubiquitous endoribonuclease, found in archaea, bacteria and eukarya as well as chloroplasts and mitochondria. Its best characterised activity is the generation of mature 5'-ends of tRNAs by cleaving the 5'-leader elements of precursor-tRNAs.
Source: RNAcentral